UACGUAGGUGACCAGCGUUGUCCGGAUUUACUGGGCGUAAAGAGCGCGCAGGCGGUCGUUCAAGUCGAGUGUGAAAGCCCCCGGCUCAACUGGGGAGGGUCAUUCGAUACUGAUCGACUUGAAGGCAGGAGAGGGAAGUGGAAUUCCCGGUGUAGUGGUGAAAUGCGUAGAUAUCGGGAGGAACACCAGUGGCGAAGGCGACUUUCUGGCCUGUUCUUGACGCUGAGGCGCGAAAGCUAGGGGAGCAAACGGG
Molecule: ribosomal RNA, 253 nt
Filed under: uncultured bacterium
Lineage: Bacteria
Description: partial 16S ribosomal RNA
Rfam family: Bacterial small subunit ribosomal RNA
Source: RNAcentral